Molecule: ribosomal RNA, 510 nt
Filed under: uncultured bacterium
Lineage: Bacteria
Description: partial 16S ribosomal RNA
Rfam family: Bacterial small subunit ribosomal RNA
Source: RNAcentral
GACGAACGCUGGCGGCGUGCUUAACACAUGCAAGUCGAACGAAGAGCGAUGGAAGCUUGCUUCUAUCACUCUUAGUGGCGAACGGGUGAGUAACGCGUAAUCAACCUGCCCUUCAGAGGGGGACAACAGUUGGAAACGACUGCUAAUGCCGCAUACGAUCUGACCUCGGCAUCGAGGAUAGAUGAAAGGUGGCCUCUAUUUAUAAGCUAUCACUGAAGGAGGGGAUUGCGUCUGAUUAGCUAGUUGGAGGGGUAACGGCCCACCAAGGCGAUGAUCAGUAGCCGGUCUGAGAGGAUGAACGGCCACAUUGGGACUGAGACACGGCCCAGACUCCUACGGGAGGCAGCAGUGGGGAAUCUUCCGCAAUGGACGAAAGUCUGACGGAGCAACGCCGCGUGAGUGAUGACGGCCUUCGGGUUGUAAAGCUCUGUUAAUCGGGACGAAAGGCCUUCUUGCGAAUAGUUAGAAGGAUUGACGGUACCGGAAUAGAAAGCCACGGCUAACUACGUG